GACUCCGACUUCAUGGGGUCGAGUUGCAGACCCCAAUCCGAACUGAGACCGGCUUUUUGGGAUUCGCUCCACCUUACGGUAUCGCAGCCCUCUGUACCGGCCAUUGUAGCAUGCGUGAAGCCCAAGACAUAAGGGGCAUGAUGAUUUGACGUCAUCCCCACCUUCCUCCGAGUUGACCCCGGCAGUCUCCCAUGAGUCCCCGGCAUAACCCGCUGGCAACAUAGGACGAGGGUUGCGCUCGUUGCGGGACUUAACCCAACAUCUCACGACACGAGCUGACGACAACCAUGCACCACCUGUGUACGAGUGUCCAAAGAGAACCCCGUCUCGGGGGCUUUCUCGUACAUGUCAAGCCUUGGUAAGGUUCUUCGCGUUGCAUCGAAUUAAUCCGCAUGCUCCGCCGCUUGUGCGGGCCCCCGUCAAUUCCUUUGAGUUUUAGCCUUGCGGCCGUACUCCCCAGGCGGGGCACUUAAUGCGUUAGCUGCGGCACGGAACUCGUGGAAUGAGCCCCACACCUAGUGCCCAACGUUUACGGCAUGGACUACCAGGGUAUCUAAUCCUGUUCGCUCCCCAUGCUUUCGCUCCUCAGCGUCAGUUGCGGCCCAGAGACCUGCCUUCGCCAUCGGUGUUCCUCCUGAUAUCUGCGCAUUCCACCGCUACACCAGGAAUUCCAGUCUCCCCUACCGCACUCUAGUCUGCCCGUACCCGAUGCAAGCCCGAGGUUGAGCCUCGGGAUUUCACACCAGACGCGACAGACCGCCUACGAGCUCUUUACGCCCAAUAAUUCCGGACAACGCUUGCGCCCUACGUAUUACCGCGGCUGCUGGCACGUAGUUAGCCGGCGCUUCUUCUGCAGGUACCGUCACUUGCGCUUCUUCCCUGCUGAAAGAGGUUUACAACCCGAAGGCCGUCAUCCCUCACGCGGCGUCGCUGCAUCAGGCUUGCGCCCAUUGUGCAAUAUUCCCCACUGCUGCCUCCCGUAGGAGUCUGGGCCGUGUCUCAGUCCCAGUGUGGCCGGUCGCCCUCUCAGGCCGGCUACCCGUCGACGCCUUGGUAGGCCAUCACCCCACCAACAAGCUGAUAGGCCGCGAGCCCAUCCCCCACCGAAAAACUUUCCAACCCACACCAUGCGAUGCGAGCUCAUAUCCGGUAUUAGACCCCGUUUCCAAGGCUUAUCCCGAAGUGGAGGGCAGGUUGCUCACGUGUUACUCACCCGUUCGCCACUGAUCCACCCAGCAAGCUGGGCUUCACCGUCGACUGCA
RNAcentral lists this ribosomal RNA (1262 nucleotides) under uncultured bacterium. Its description in RNAcentral is "partial 16S ribosomal RNA". The record is from RNAcentral.